RNAcentral lists this ribosomal RNA (253 nucleotides) under uncultured bacterium. RNAcentral's name for it is "partial 16S ribosomal RNA". It matches the Rfam family "Bacterial small subunit ribosomal RNA", at positions 524 to 776 of the family's 1533-position model. The record is from RNAcentral.
UACAGAGGUGGCAAGCGUUGUUCGGAAUUACUGGGCGUAAAGGGCGCGUAGGUGGCCUGCUAAGUCGAACGUGAAAUCCCCGGGCUCAACCCGGGAACUGCGUCCGAGACUGGCAGGCUUGAAUCCGGGAGAGGGAUGUGGAAUUCCAGGUGUAGCGGUGAAAUGCGUAGAUAUCUGGAGGAACACCGGUGGCGAAGGCGGCAUCCUGGACCGGUAUUGACGCUGAGGCGCGAAAGCCAGGGGAGCAAACGGG